RNAcentral lists this long non-coding RNA (210 nucleotides) under Mytilus galloprovincialis (Mediterranean mussel). The record is from RNAcentral. Lineage: Eukaryota; Metazoa; Mollusca; Bivalvia; Mytilida; Mytilidae.
GUGCCAAAUACAUCUAAGGCAAUCUAUGCCUGGGAUAAGAAAAUCCUUAGUUUUUCGAAAAAUUCAAAGUUUUGUAAACAGGAAAUUUAUAAAAAUGACCACAUUAUUGAUAUUCAUGUCAACACCGAAGUGUUGACUACUGGGCUGGUGAUACCCUCGGGGACGUAACGUCCACCAGCAGUGGCAUCGACCCAGUGGUGUAAAUAGUUA